AAGUCGUAACAAGGUUUCCGUAGGUGAACCUGCGGAAGGAUCACUAGUGAUUAAACGGGAAGCGUCUUAACUGACCUUCUCACCCUUCACAUCCACAUACACCCUGUGAACUGUUUGGCUUCAACUCUCGAGUUGGGCUCUCCUAUCGAUAGAUUAGCAAUAGUCUAGCGAGAAGAGGGUUCGUCUCGAGAGGCGGGAGUCAUCAUUUUUAUACAUACACAAAGUCUAAUGAAUGUAAACGUUUUAUAUAAACAAAAUAAAA
Molecule: unclassified non-coding RNA, 262 nt
Filed under: plant metagenome
Description: partial contains small subunit ribosomal RNA and internal transcribed spacer 1
Rfam family: Eukaryotic small subunit ribosomal RNA (bases 1-46)
Source: RNAcentral